This is a transfer RNA of Felis catus (domestic cat), 85 nucleotides long. It matches the Rfam family "tRNA". Rfam says of the family: Transfer RNA (tRNA) molecules are approximately 80 nucleotides in length. The record is from Rfam. Lineage: Eukaryota; Metazoa; Chordata; Mammalia; Carnivora; Felidae.
GCCUGGGUGGCUUGGUUGGUUAAGCAUCUGAUUUCAGCUCAGGUCAUGAUCUCCCAGUUCGUGGGUUCGAGCCCCGCGUCGGGCU